RNAcentral lists this long non-coding RNA (325 nucleotides) under Mus spicilegus (steppe mouse). Its description in RNAcentral is "lncRNA (ENSMSIG00000014690.1)". Lineage: Eukaryota; Metazoa; Chordata; Mammalia; Rodentia; Muridae. The record is from RNAcentral.
AUUCAUACCAUCGCCGGAUUUACUUGUCAAGGGGCAGGACUAACAAGUGUAUUAGGUUCUAGAAAAGCUGUGCCUGCUUCCUUCUGGAAAAUUCCAGCGCUAGAGGAUGUAGGUAGGAUAAGGUCUGAAGACCGGUCGAGGAAUGCAGGAUCAUGGAAGGUUUAGGAGCUGGGCCUCCAUGUCUUCUGUACACAUUGGCCAACGUGAAGUGUUCCUCCAUCUUCUCAGGUAUCAAAGAAUGGUCAGCGGGAGUCAUGAAGGAGGACGAAUGCUAGCUAUGAGUCCCUUGGAGUCAUGGUUCUGCCACUUCAAGUUUGGAAGGACG